GAUGAACGCUGGCGGCGUGCCUAAUACAUGCAAGUCGAGCGAACGGACGAGAAGCUUGCUUCUCUGAUGUUAGCGGCGGACGGGUGAGUAACACGUGGAUAACCUACCUAUAAGACUGGGAUAACUUCGGGAAACCGGAGCUAAUACCGGAUGAUAUUUUGAACCGCAUGGUUCAAAAGUGAAAGACGGUCUUGCUGUCACUUAUAGAUGGAUCCGCGCUGCAUUAGCUAGUUGGUAAGGUAACGGCUUACCUAGGCAACGAUGCAUAGCCGACCUGAGAGGGUGAUCGGCCACACUGGAACUGAAACACGGUCCAGACUCCGACGGGAGGCAGCAGUAGGGAAUCUUCCGCAAUGGGCGAAAGCCUGACGGAGCAACGCCGCGUGAGUGAUGAAGGUCUUCGGAUCGUAAAACUCUGUUAUUAGGGAAGAACAUAUGUGUAGCUAACUGUGCACAUCUUGACGGUACCUAAGCAGAAAGCCACGGCUAACUACGUG
This 497-nucleotide ribosomal RNA is filed under the name uncultured bacterium. Its description in RNAcentral is "partial 16S ribosomal RNA". It matches the Rfam family "Bacterial small subunit ribosomal RNA", at positions 28 to 507 of the family's 1533-position model. The record is from RNAcentral.